This is a non-coding RNA of Triticum aestivum (bread wheat), 135 nucleotides long. Lineage: Eukaryota; Viridiplantae; Streptophyta; Magnoliopsida; Poales; Poaceae. The record is from Rfam.
CAAAUACUCCCUCCGUCCGAAAAUACUUGUCAUCAAAAUGGAUUAUAGGAAAUGUAUCUAGACGUAUUUUAGUUUUAGAUAAAUCUCUUUUUAUCCAUUUUGAUGACAAGUAUUUUCGAAUGGAUGGAGUAUUUA